Hydractinia symbiolongicarpus is the source of this 1101-nucleotide long non-coding RNA. RefSeq lists it as uncharacterized. The record is from RefSeq and is a predicted model, not a curated record. Lineage: Eukaryota; Metazoa; Cnidaria; Hydrozoa; Anthoathecata; Hydractiniidae. The transcript is spliced from 4 exons.
AAUUGUAGCUAUACAUUUUCAAUUCGUUCUCUUUGGGAUGAAGCGAAAUAUAGUAAUCGAAGUAAAAAAUUAUUGAACUUUUAUUCAAAGAACCCUAGCUAGCGACCUAACUGAGAAAGCGAACGAAAAGCAGUAUGGCUGCAAAUAGAUGCUAAAGAUUUGGCUAGAUGCACCAAAAACCUUCAUGUAACAGAUAAUCAGGCAAACCAGUGCUCUUGUAUGAGAAAAAGGGACUGUUGAUAUAAAGGCAGGCUGGCUCGGAAAACCGAGCUGACUCAUCUCCAGGCUGGAUUUUCACUUGUGUUUAUAUUAUUAAAUUUAAAAACACUAAUGGCGCUCAUUCAAUCUUUCACUGCAAUUAGAAGGUCCCAUAAUAAUUAAAAACCACUGCACAGCUAUUCUAUAAUAAAUUAAACGUUAAACAGUUUAAAUCCCAGUUCAAACCCAGUUUGAUUUUGUUUUUUAAAAGUAGUAUUAAACAGGUUUGUUAUUUUUACCGAUGUUCCAAUAUGGCGGCCACAAAAUUAUCUUAUUCAUUGCAACAAACUUUAAGAUCAGUCACUAAUCUUGAAAAUGUUUCGUUGGAAGAUUUGGAAGUAAAUAAAGAGCGGGAAUUUGUUUCCGAAAAAAAUGAGAUUGAAACAAAAUUGUCAUGGAAACGACGUGAUGAAAUCGACAACCCGACAAAUGCGUGCAUACAAGAAAUUAACGACGUAAAAAAUUGUCUAAACGACCUCGAGCUUGAGAGAUUAUCGUUGCAAAGAGAAUUUCAAAAGUUAUUUAGAGUGAACGUUUCGUUAAUGAAAGAAUUGGAGACAUUCGAACACACUGUUCGAAGCGCACAAACAAAACAGAACCCUGUACUCAACCGGCCAACUAAACCAAAAGUCUCUCUACACACCAUCGUGAAUUUAAAAAUCGGGUUAAAAAAAUUACGACAUCGAGCUGCAAAACACGCGGUCGCAAGGAAACCUGAUUAUAAUGGCUUUCCAGAACUAAAACGAGACAGAAAAUAUUAACUCGGAUUCAUAAGAAGUAUUAUAUAUGGUUUUAAUUUAUUGACAGAAUUAGUCUGAAUAAUAAACAAUUUCUUAAAAUGUA